GACGAACGCUGGCGGCGUGCUUAACACAUGCAAGUCGAACGGUAAGGCCCUUCGGGGUCCACGAGUGGCGAACGGGUGAGUAACACGUGGGUAAUCUGCCCUGCACUUCGGGAUAAGCCUGGGAAACUGGGUCUAAUACCGGAUAUUCAGUUCCUGCCGCAUGGUGGGGGUUGGAAAGUUUUUCGGUGCAGGAUGAGCCCGCGGCCUAUCAGCUUGUUGGUGGGGUAAUGGCCUACCAAGGCGACGACGGGUAGCCGGCCUGAGAGGGUGAUCGGCCACACUGGGACUGAGACACGGCCCAGACUCCUACGGGAGGCAGCAGUGGGGAAUAUUGCACAAUGGGCGAAAGCCUGAUGCAGCGACGCCGCGUGAGGGAUGACGGUCUUCGGAUUGUAAACCCCUUUCAGUAGGGACGAAGCGCAAGUGACGGGACCUGCAGAAGAAGCACCGGCCAACUACGU
Molecule: ribosomal RNA, 461 nt
Filed under: uncultured bacterium
Lineage: Bacteria
Description: partial 16S ribosomal RNA
Rfam family: Bacterial small subunit ribosomal RNA
Source: RNAcentral